This 359-nucleotide ribosomal RNA is filed under the name uncultured bacterium. RNAcentral's name for it is "bacterial SSU rRNA". It matches the Rfam family "Bacterial small subunit ribosomal RNA", at positions 29 to 386 of the family's 1533-position model. The record is from RNAcentral.
AUUGAACGCUGGCGGCAUGCUUUACACAUGCAAGUCGAACGGCAGGCACGGGGGCAACCCUGGUGGCGAGUGGCGAACGGGUGAGUAACACAUCGGAACGUGCCCAGUUGUGGGGGAUAACCUAUCGAAAGGUAGGCUAAUACCGCAUGAGCUCGGCGAGAGGAAAGCGGGGGACCCAGCGAUGGGCCUCGCGCGACUGGAGCGGCCGAUGUCCGAUUAGCUAGUUGGNGGGGUAAAGGCUUACCAAGGCGACGAUCGGUAGCUGGUCUGAGAGGAUGAUCAGCCACACUGGGACUGAGACACGGCCCAGACUCCUACGGGAGGCAGCAGCGGGGAAUUUGGACAAUGGGGCAACCUGA